CCUACGGGGGGCAGCAGUGGGGAAUAUUGGACAAUGGGGGGAACCCUGAUCCAGCCAUGCCGCGUGUGUGAAGAAGGCCCUCGGGUUGUAAAGCACUUUCAGUGAGGAAGAACGCCUGGUGGUUAAUACCCAUCAGGAAAGACAUCACUCACAGAAGAAGCACCGGCUAACUCCGUGCCAGCAGCCGCGGUAAUACGGAGGGUGCGAGCGUUAAUCGGAAUUACUGGGCGUAAAGCGCGCGUAGGUGGCUUGAUAAGCCGGUUGUGAAAGCCCCGGGCUCAACCUGGGAACGGCAUCCGGAACUGUCAAGCUAGAGUGCAGGAGAGGAAGGUAGAAUUCCCGGUGUAGCGGUGAAAUGCGUAGAGAUCGGGAGGAAUACCAGUGGCGAAGGCGGCCUUCUGGACUGACACUGACACUGAGGUGUGAAAGCGUGGGUAGCAAACAGGAUUAGAUACCCCUGUAGUC
Molecule: ribosomal RNA, 465 nt
Filed under: Vreelandella stevensii
Lineage: Bacteria; Pseudomonadati; Pseudomonadota; Gammaproteobacteria; Oceanospirillales; Halomonadaceae
Description: partial 16S ribosomal RNA
Rfam family: Bacterial small subunit ribosomal RNA
Source: RNAcentral